CUACGGGGGGCUGCAGUGGGGAAUCUUGGACAAUGGGGGCAACCCUGAUCCAGCCAUGCCGCGUGAGUGAAGAAGGCCCUAGGGUCGUAAAGCUCUUUCGCCUGUGAAGAUAAUGACGGUAGCAGGUAAAGAAACCCCGGCUAACUCCGUGCCAGCAGCCGCGGUAAUACGGAGGGGGUUAGCGUUGUUCGGAAUUACUGGGCGUAAAGCGCACGUAGGCGGAUCGGAAAGUUGGGGGUGAAAUCCCGGGGCUCAACCCCGGAACUGCCUCCAAAACUAUCGGUCUAGAGUUCGAGCGAGGUGAGUGGGAUUCCGGGUGUAGGGGGUAAAUUCGUAGAUAUUCGGAGGAACAACAGUGGCGAAGGCGGCUCACUGGCUCGAUACUGACGCUGAGGUGCGAAAGUGUGGGGAGCAAACAGGAUUAGAUACCCUGUAGUC
RNAcentral lists this ribosomal RNA (438 nucleotides) under uncultured bacterium. Its description in RNAcentral is "partial 16S ribosomal RNA". It matches the Rfam family "Bacterial small subunit ribosomal RNA", at positions 339 to 795 of the family's 1533-position model. The record is from RNAcentral.